RNAcentral lists this ribosomal RNA (433 nucleotides) under uncultured bacterium. RNAcentral describes it as "partial 16S ribosomal RNA". It matches the Rfam family "Bacterial small subunit ribosomal RNA", at positions 29 to 507 of the family's 1533-position model. The record is from RNAcentral.
AACGAACGCUGGCGGCAUGCCUAACACAUGCAAGUCGAACGAGACCUUCGGGUCUAGUGGCGCACGGGUGCGUAACGCGUGGGAACCUGCCCUUAGGUUCGGAAUAACUCCCCGAAAGGGGUGCUAAUACCGGAUAAUGUCUUCGGACCAAAGAUUUAUCGCCUUUGGAUGGGCCCGCGUUGGAUUAGCUAGUUGGUAGGGUAAAAGCCUACCAAGGCGACGAUCCAUAGCCGGUCUGAGAGGAUGAUCAGCCACACUGGGACUGAGACACGGCCCAGACUCCUACGGGAGGCAGCAGUGGGGAAUAUUGGACAAUGGGCGAAAGCUUGAUCCAGCAAUGCCGCGUGAGUGAUGAAGGCCUUAGGGUUGUAAAGCUCUUUUACCCGGGAUGAUAAUGACAGUACCGGGAGAAUAAGCUCCGGCUAACUCCGUG